RNAcentral lists this long non-coding RNA (732 nucleotides) under Homo sapiens (human). RNAcentral describes it as "non-protein coding lnc-TMEM17-7:1". Lineage: Eukaryota; Metazoa; Chordata; Mammalia; Primates; Hominidae. The record is from RNAcentral.
GGAUUACAGGUGUGAGCCACCGCACCCAGUGGCUUUUUGCUUUUUCUUUAAGUUUAUUCCUUUAUCUGUGAACUCUUGAUUUCAUAAAUCCUCUUCUUUUCCCUUUUAUUUUUUCUGGUAUGGUCCUGAAAUGUCUUCUGUGGUCUUCCUUCAAAUUUCAGCUUCCCUUUCCAAUUAAAUCUUCAUUCAUGUACCCACGCCUGAAUCUUAACCUUCAAAGUUACACUCAAGGCAAGGACUUCCCCUGUUUCUCAACAAAGAGAUGGGUAUCAAUGGAUUUCCAAAGCAUCCCUCUGUUCUACACAUAUGUAUCUUUUUUCCCCAACUAAAAUGUAGAAUGAUUGAGAACAGGGUCUGUUUUUAAUUUCUUUUUUAUCUCCCUGCCCUACAGCACCUGCUCUACAAAGUAAUUCUCAAUAAAUAAUCACUUCUGACCACAUGUAGAAGAUUAACAAUUCAUAAAUGUAUAAUUCUAUUGAAUGGAAAUGGAAAUCCUUAGAUUGGGGGUGGGGUCACCAUUGUUACUGCUAACAUUUUUUAGCAGUUAUUAAUCCAGCAUUUCAUGUAAUCCUCAUACUGAAACCACCUUUGGGAAAUUAUGACAGUAAGAGAAAUCUACAUGGCUGACUCCAUCUUGCUUCUAGCCUCACAAGUUGGCUCUCUUUGCUUAUGCCUUGGUGUGGGUCAAGCUAACUUUGGGCGAAAUUUAGUUUACAGUUGAAAUGAUACUAG